GGAGGUGUAGCUCAGUGGUUGAGCACCUGCUUCACAUGUAUGAGGUCCUGGGUUCAAUCCCCAGUACCGCCU
RNAcentral lists this transfer RNA (72 nucleotides) under Dasypus novemcinctus (nine-banded armadillo). RNAcentral's name for it is "tRNA-Val (CAC) (tRNA-Val-CAC-16-1)". It matches the Rfam family "tRNA". Rfam says of the family: Transfer RNA (tRNA) molecules are approximately 80 nucleotides in length. Lineage: Eukaryota; Metazoa; Chordata; Mammalia; Cingulata; Dasypodidae. The record is from RNAcentral.